Molecule: long non-coding RNA, 1317 nt
Filed under: Anas platyrhynchos platyrhynchos (common mallard)
Lineage: Eukaryota; Metazoa; Chordata; Aves; Anseriformes; Anatidae
Description: lncRNA (ENSAPLG00000022067.1)
Source: RNAcentral
UCAGUCCGGCUGCUGGGACAGAAACGCCAAAGAAAAGCUGGAAAGGGAUCUGUAAGCAUAAUGCUUUCCUUCUGGAGCUGGGCAAAGGCUUGGGACCCAAAAGAUUAUUUUCUUAUUUGCUCGCUUAUUUGUUCCCCGUUAACCUGCAUUAGAUGAUAUAUCAGUGCAAUAAUCUAUGGGUUUUGCUUUAUAGAUGUUCCAGAGCAGUCCCAGGUGCGCUGACCCCGCUGCUGCAGUGGAUCCCUGUCAGCCUGCGGCACCCUGCUCUUGCUUGUGGCUGGGGCUGGAUUCCCCUGAGUACUUGGCACUAGAAGACUUUUUUAGGCUAGGCAAUGUUUUCAGAAAUGUUUUCAUUAAAACUGUAGCACUGCAGUAUCCGCACUCAGGAGAGCAAUGAAAAUUUGCUGGAUAUUAAUGUUUCACUGGUAAGUACCUUCAUGAGUGAAUGUUACUUGUGAAAACCCAGGCACUUAAGCUGCUCCAUGGGAGGAUGCAGGUGCUAAACUCUUUGUCUGCUGGGUUCUCUGAACAUCUAUGAGUCUGGCCUAGCUUACAAAAUUAUUUCCGUUAACACCAUCUCAUAUCUCUCAGUCGAAUAUUCACCAGACAAGUAAUGGUUUAAUCUUCUAAAACUUUAGGAUACAAGACUAAAGUUUUGAAGGAUGCAAGGAAGCCAAAUAGUUAACACUAGUAGAAUGAAAUUCCAGAUGGCUAUACAGUUUCUAGACUACAUGUCAUAGAGCUAAGCUAGACCUUUCUCAUUUCCUACUAAUAAUCGUUAAGAAGUAUUUGUCUUCUAAUUAUCCUAUCACCUCUGAAUAAUGAAUUGAAUCUUUGUUUUUCCUAAAACAGUAAUUUUAUACCUUACAUAGCUUAAACCAGGACAUGGGCUGAGCAAACAUCACUUAUGCUGCAAGAACAACUUGAACUUUGCACUUACAAGUGCGUAAACUUUGCUUUCAGGCAGCAGUUAGUGGUGGCUAGAGCAAGACAGAACGAAAUAGAAGACCUGGGAAGGUUAAAAAUCGGUUGUCUGCCUGUUAAUAGCCACAUGAAAACCAAACCUCACAGCUCUUCAGGCACUUCAUCUGGACAUGUAAAAGCACUGAAGACAACCAUGUUUAGCCUAACACAUGAGUAGAGUGAGGCCUGGAGUAUGUGCAUGCUCACCCCAAUGCAGGCAUGCAGCCUCCUGCAGCUUCCAUGCACCAGGGGGACACGUAACUCAUGCUUCCCUUCACGUGCUCUCAUGCAGGCAGCGUGCCCCAUCUUUCCAACUGUAAUAAAAGAAGCUUCCCCUGGUAUCCCCCUGUGUUC